Molecule: ribosomal RNA, 490 nt
Filed under: uncultured bacterium
Lineage: Bacteria
Description: partial 16S ribosomal RNA
Rfam family: Bacterial small subunit ribosomal RNA
Source: RNAcentral
AUUGAACGCUGGCGGCAGGCCUAACACAUGCAAGUCGAACGGUAACAGGAAGAAGCUUGCUUCUUUGCUGACGAGUGGCGGACGGGUGAGUAAUGUCUGGGAAACUUCCUGAUGGAGGGGGAUAACUACUGGAAACGGGAGCUAAUACCGCAUAACGUCGCAAGACCAAAAAGGGGGACCUUCGGGCCUCUUGCCAUCGGAUGUGCCCAGAUGGGAUUAGCUAGUAGGUGGGGUAACGGCUCACCUAGGCGACGAUCCCUAGCUGGUCUGAGAGGAUGACCAGCCACACUGGAACUGAGACACGGUCCAGACUCCUACGGGAGGCAGCAGUGGGGAAUAUUGCACAAUGGGCGCAAGCCUGAUGCAGCCAUGCCGCGUGUAUGAAGAAGGCCUUCGGGUUGUAAAGUGCUUUCAGCGGGGAGGAAGGGAGUAAAGUUAAUACCUUUGCUCAUUGACGUUACCCGCAGAAGAAGCACCGGCUAACUCCGUG